UACGUAGGGUGCAAGCGUUAAUCGGAAUUACUGGGCGUAAAGCGUGCGCAGGCGGCUUUGCAAGACAGUUGUGAAAUCCCCGGGCUCAACCUGGGAACUGCAUCUGUGACUGCAUAGCUAGAGUACGGUAGAGGGGGAUGGAAUUCCGCGUGUAGCAGUGAAAUGCGUAGAUAUGCGGAGGAACACCGAUGGCGAAGGCAAUCCCCUGGACCUGUACUGACGCUCAUGCACGAAAGCGUGGGGAGCAAACAGG
RNAcentral lists this ribosomal RNA (253 nucleotides) under uncultured bacterium. RNAcentral describes it as "partial 16S ribosomal RNA". It matches the Rfam family "Bacterial small subunit ribosomal RNA", at positions 524 to 776 of the family's 1533-position model. The record is from RNAcentral.